Molecule: long non-coding RNA, 1841 nt
Organism: Sciurus carolinensis (gray squirrel)
Lineage: Eukaryota; Metazoa; Chordata; Mammalia; Rodentia; Sciuridae
Exons: 3
Source: RefSeq, a predicted model, not a curated record
CUGACCUGCUGGCCCAGGGCAGCCUGCACGUCCCGGUGCCCCACCCUGGACGCCGUGCAUCCCCUGCCCACCGGGAAGAGCUGGGUCUUCUGGGGUGCACCCGUGUCCCCACGUCACGACACACGCGAUGGACUCCAAGGAGGCUCGCGGGGCAGGCGGAUCCCUGAGAGGCCAAUGUCCUACCUCCACCCUUUUAGGAUCCCCAUUUUACAGAGGGGAGAACUGAGGCACAGGCGGAGCUGAGUGGCUUUCCCCGCAUCACAGGGAGUGAAUGGCACAGGCCAGGGGGUGACGGGGCCCAGUUGGGGGGAGGAGCCGUGGGCAAGGGAGUCGGCCUGGGGUCCACGCAAUCCCGGUGGGGCCGUGGGACCAGCCAGCCCUGUCCUCACACCAGCCUCUGGCCUUGGAUGGUCUAGCCUCUGGUCUCUGGUGUCCAGCCUCUGGCCAUGGAGGUCUAGCUUCUGACCAUCCAUCUCGCUCACACCAGCCAAGUCUACCCUUCAUCUCCAGCGUGUGUUUAUUGAGCACCUACUAGAGGCCAGGCAGUUUUGGGUGCUGGGGAUACAGAAGUGACCAAGCUGGACAUCUGUACCCUCGUGGAGCCGAUGCUCCCCAUGGCAGCCCUGGACGGCACAGGAAGGCAGACCAAACACGCGUGAGGUGGGAGCCUGCUGAGCGGAGGAGGGGACCUCUGGUGCCUGUGGAGCAGAGACAGUGGAGGCAGGGAGGCCCACGAGGAGGGAUCUUUGAAAUUGCGGACGUGCCUGUUGACGUCCUCCAGCUGUAAACCCCAAGCUCUGGGGCUGGAGCCGGGCCCUUUCUGUCGCCCAGGGUCUGCCUGAGCCCUGGCCUCUGCCAUGGCCGGGCGCUUCCGUCUCCCUCCACCCACAAACGGGCCACCACCAGAUCCUUGAGCAGAGCCAAGAGGUGGGUCCAUCAUGGAGGAUGAGUGGACAAGCUUGGGCUGAGGGCCUGACGUCUGCCCAGCCAUCCCGGGAAGCUAUUUCCAGGUCCCGGAAGCAGGAAGUGAGUCAUGGCGCUCGGCACCCGAGGUGCGAUUGAUGGCGCCUGGACAGAAGGGCCGGCCACCACCCAGGGCGGCAGGAAGGAGACCUGGAGGAAGAGGACAGGACAGACCCCGACAGGCCCCGCGGAAGCCGCUGAGGUCAGCGCAGAUGGGCGGCCUGGCCCACUGUCCUCCCGCACCUGGGGCCCGUCAGGAGGUGGGGACGCAGAGGGUCCCGCUGGCCCCGAGGAGAGGCCAGGGCUGGUCCAGGCCACGUCCACAGAGGGGCCAUGACCGCAGAGACCGCUCUGGACUGCGCGUCUCCGGGGACACAGGAGAGGCUGGCUUCCUGGAGGUGCCACCGCAGUCCAGGGCCUAGGCUUCCAGACCGAGGUCACGGCCAGUCCCCCAGCCGACUGGGGCUCCCUGAGCACAGGCUCCGAGUGACCUCCGGGGGCCGAGGGACCCACUUCCUCCCGCACCGCACCCUGAGGCCCCCGGCCCCCCAGGAUGGCGCAGGCCGGGGCUGGGCACCCCCGGGCACCCCCGUCUCAGCUGCGGGCAGGCUUGUCGGAGGCGGAGGUGGCAGCGCGCUCUCACUUCCUCGCUGGCCCGGGUCACCGCCCCGGCUCCUCCCGGCUCCCUUCCGCCUCCUCCAGAGCGCACGCCCUUCUGCAGGAAGCACCUGGGUCUGGAUGGGCCGCGCAGCUGCAGGCAGGGCCCGGGAGGCCUGGCCCCACCGGGUCUGGGGAAGGUGGCCUCUGAAUGGAGGGGCUCGAGUUUGGUCUGAAUUUGUUAAAUUUCCCUCCACAAAUAUGUAUUAUUUGUGUUUGAA